AUUGAUAUACUCCGAGGAGUGUAUCCCGAGGACUCAAUCUAUACCCCACCUCAUUUCUCUUCUUCGGUCCUCGAGGUCAUCUAAGUCCUCGAGAUAUUGUAGUCCUCGAGAUACCUCGAGGACACAUUUACAUUCCCUCAAUGUCCUCAAGAAUAGUCCUCGAGACAUACACCACCAACAUACCUCCUAAGACCUGGGUACCUAACUAACAAACCUAAACACCCAAGGAUUUUACAUCAACCCUAACACCACUUGUCAAACAAUUCCAUUACAAGUAGGACAUUCUUUAUAAUAGAAAUUCCCUUGGAUAAAAACAUCCAACCAACACAAUCCUACUAGGAGUACACUACCUACUCCUAUAAAAGCAGAACCUUGGGCCAUUAUUCAGGUACGUUUGACAUUGUUCUUCAGCACAUAGCCUCACGCAUAUAUUUCCCUUUCUGACUUAAGCAUCGGAGGGGCGACGAGAACACACCUUGUUGCCUUUGUUUCAGGUAUCGGAAGAUCACGUUCGUGCUCCUCACCAGUCAUCAAGCUCGG
This 540-nucleotide long non-coding RNA is filed under the name Olea europaea (common olive). RNAcentral's name for it is "long non-coding RNA (OEUR_LNC004658)". Lineage: Eukaryota; Viridiplantae; Streptophyta; Magnoliopsida; Lamiales; Oleaceae. The record is from RNAcentral.